GAGUUUGAUCUUGGCUCAGGAUGAACGCUAGCGGCAGGCCUAACACAUGCAAGUCGAGCGCCCCGCAAGGGGAGCGGCAGACGGGUGAGUAACGCGUGGGAAUCUACCCAGCCCUACGGAAUAACUCCGGGAAACUGGAACUAAUACCGUAUACGUCCGAUAGGAGAAAGAUUUAUCGGGGUUGGAUGAGCCCGCGUUGGAUUAGCUAGUUGGUGGGGUAAUGGCCUACCAAGGCGACGAUCCAUAGCUGGUCUGAGAGGAUGAUCAGCCACACUGGGACUGAGACACGGCCCAGACUCCUACGGGAGGCAGCAGUGGGGAAUAUUGGACAAUGGGCGAAAGCCUGAUCCAGCCAUGCCGCGUGAGUGAUGAAGGCCCUAGGGUUGUAAAGCUCUUUCACCGGUGAAGAUAAUGACGGUAACCGGAGAAGAAGCCCCGGCUAACUUCGUGCCAGCAGCCGCAGU
RNAcentral lists this ribosomal RNA (464 nucleotides) under uncultured Alphaproteobacteria bacterium. Its description in RNAcentral is "bacterial SSU rRNA". It matches the Rfam family "Bacterial small subunit ribosomal RNA", at positions 9 to 521 of the family's 1533-position model. The record is from RNAcentral. Lineage: Bacteria; Pseudomonadati; Pseudomonadota; Alphaproteobacteria.